UGAAGAUUACUAAGGGCGCACGGUGGAUGCCUUGGCAUCAGGAGCCGAUGAAGGACGUGGCAAUCUGCGAUAUGCCUCGGGGAGCCGAUAAGCGGGCUGUGAUCCGAGGAUUUCCGAAUGGGGAAACCCCGUCGUCUGUGAGGGCGAUGACCUGUAUCUGAAUACAUAGGGUGCAGGGGGGAACGCGGGGAAGUGAAACAUCUCAGUACCCGCAGGAAGAGAAAACAACAGUGAUUCCGUGAGUAGUGGCGAGCGAAAGCGGAAGUGGCUAAACCGUCUGUGUGUGAUACCCGGCAGGGGUUGCAUGGGCGGGGUUGUGGGAGCAUCAGUGCCCGGUCUGCCGGCUGGGUCGUGUGAGUGCAGCGUGAUAGUCGAAUCAUCUUGAGUGGUGUGCCGUAGAGGGUGUGAGUCCCGUAGACGAAAUCAUUGUUGCCGCGCGUGGUGUUUCCCGAGUAGCACGGAGCCCGUGAAACUUCGUGUGAAUCUGCCAGGACCACCUGGUAAGCCUGAAUACUACCUGAUGACCGAUAGCGGACCAGUACCGUGAGGGAAAGGUGAAAAGCACCCCGGGAGGGGAGUGAAAUAGUACCUGAAACCGUGUGCCUACAAGCCGUCGGAGCCUUUUGGGGUGACGGCGUGCCUUUUGAAGAAUGAGCCUGCGAGUUAGUGUCAUGUCGCGAGGUUAACCCGUGUGGGGUAGUCGUAGCGAAAGCGAGUCUGAAGAGGGCGUUGAGUGGCGUGAUCUAGACCCGAAGCGAAGUGAUCUACCCAUGGCCAGGUUGAAGCGCGUGUAAGAGCGCGUGGAGGACCGAACCCACUUCAGUUGAAA
Molecule: ribosomal RNA, 829 nt
Filed under: Kocuria rhizophila
Lineage: Bacteria; Bacillati; Actinomycetota; Actinomycetes; Micrococcales; Micrococcaceae
Description: bacterial LSU rRNA
Rfam family: Bacterial large subunit ribosomal RNA
Source: RNAcentral